UACUAGAGUAGCACUCGCAUAUCAAUAAGCGGAGGAAAAGAAACUAACAAGGAUUCCCCUAGUAACGGCGAGUGAAGCGGGAAGAGCUCAAAUUUGAAAUCUUAAAGGGUUUCCCUUUACGAAUUGUAGUUUAAAGAAGUGUUUUCUGUUGAGGUUUUGGUAAAAGUUCUUUGGAAUAGGACAUCAUAGAGGGUGAGAAUCCCGUAUUUGACCUUUACUUUCAACUUUGUGAUACACUUUCAAAGAGUCGGAUUGUUUGGGAAUGCAGUCCAAAAUGGGUGGUAAAUUUCAUCUAAAGCUAAAUAUUGGCGAGAGACCGAUAGCGAACAAGUACCGUGAGGGAAAGAUGAAAAGAACUUUGAAAAGAGAGUUAAACAGUACGUGAAAUUGUCAAAAGGGAAGCGUUUGACACCAGUGUUGUUUUUCUGAGAAUCAAUUAAAGAACUGUUUAUGCUAAGUUGUUUAGACUUUAUCAGCUAUCUGUUUAGUUUUGAGCUUUUCUUUAAUGCACUUUUCAGUUAACAAGUCAACAUCAAUUUCUUUUGCUGUAAAAAAGCUUGAGGAAGGUGGCUUGAGAUUCGUCUUAAGUGUUUAUAGCCUCUUGCCUAUGCAGUCGGAGAGAUUGAGGUCUGCAGCGUAGAUCCUUCGGGGCUAAAUGCAUUUGUGCUAAGUUAUAGCAUUUUAUAGACAACUUGUUGACUAUGAUUUGUCUUGUAGCUUACUCGCUUAUGUUAUUUUACCUACGCUUAGGAUGUUGAGCGCAUGUCUCUCUCU
Molecule: ribosomal RNA, 774 nt
Filed under: uncultured Neocallimastigales
Lineage: Eukaryota; Fungi; Neocallimastigomycota; Neocallimastigomycetes; Neocallimastigales
Description: partial large subunit ribosomal RNA
Rfam family: Eukaryotic large subunit ribosomal RNA
Source: RNAcentral